CCUACGGGUGGCAGCAGUGAGGAAUAUUGGUCAAUGGCCGGAAGGCUGAACCAGCCAUGCCGCGUGAAGGUCAGUGCCCUAUGGUCGUUAAACUUCUUUUGUGCGGGAGCAAUAAUGGUCAAGCGUGGCCAGACGACAGUACCGUACGAAUAAGCAUCGGCUAACUCAGUGCCAGCAGCCGCGGUAAUACGGGGGGUGCAAGCGUUAUCCGGAUUUUUUGGGUUUAAACGGGGCGUGAGCAGUGAGGUAAGUCAGCGCCGGAAUGCCCCGGUGCAACGGGGUGAAGUGCCUUUGAUAAUGCGUGGCUGGAAGGCGGAUGCGGUGAGAGGAAUGUGUGGUGUAGCGGUGAAAUGCGUAGAUAUCA
This 364-nucleotide ribosomal RNA is filed under the name uncultured bacterium. Its description in RNAcentral is "partial 16S ribosomal RNA". It matches the Rfam family "Bacterial small subunit ribosomal RNA", at positions 338 to 699 of the family's 1533-position model. The record is from RNAcentral.